AGGUGUGACUGAUGGGAAUGAAGUGGCCAAGGCCCAGCAGGCAACUCCUGGGGGAGCAGCCCCAACCAUCUUCUCCCGGAUCCUGGACAAGAGCCUCCCAGCUGACAUUCUCUAUGAGGACCAGCAGUGUCUUGUGUUCCGUGAUGUGGCCCCUCAGGCUCCUGUGCACUUCCUGGUCAUUCCUAAGAAGCCCAUUCCUCGGAUUAGCCAGGCUGAAGAAGAAGACCAGCAGGUGGGAAGAACAGGGCCAGGGUUUGGCUGGGAGGAGCCCCUGGACCCAGCUAGAGGUCUUGCUCCCUAUGAAUGAAGCCACCUAUGUCCCUCCGCUCUCUCUAUAGCUUCUAGGACACCUACUCCUUGUGGCCAAGCAGACAGCAAAGGCUGAGGGCCUGGGAGAUGGAUACCGACUUGGUGAGUGAAUUUUGGCCCUGGUCCCUCACCUAUGAAUUCUCAUUCCUACUUCUCAAUAUGAUCUUCAUUCUUCGACCUCUGCCAUGAUCCUGACUCCCUAACCCCAAGCUCAAUUUCAGUGAUCAAUGAUGGGAAGCUGGGUGCACAAUCUGUGUAUCAUCUGCACAUUCAUGUACUUGGGGGCCGGCAGCUCCAGUGGCCUCCAGGUUGAACCUGCCAACUGACUAAAGGACACCAGACUCUGGAUACUUGGAUGGAAAGGGAAAAAUGGACCCUGUGAUGCUAAUAAAACUGUUCUCCCUUAA
RNAcentral lists this small RNA (716 nucleotides) under Pan troglodytes (chimpanzee). RNAcentral's name for it is "processed transcript". The record is from RNAcentral. Lineage: Eukaryota; Metazoa; Chordata; Mammalia; Primates; Hominidae.